This 920-nucleotide long non-coding RNA is filed under the name Monodelphis domestica (gray short-tailed opossum). Its description in RNAcentral is "lncRNA (ENSMODG00000049058.1)". The record is from RNAcentral. Lineage: Eukaryota; Metazoa; Chordata; Mammalia; Didelphimorphia; Didelphidae.
GGAACAGUAUGGGGAGGGCCUCAGUCAGGGAGACCAACAUGAAGGUUAGUGGUGAGAUGAGGGCCUGCGCUAGGGUGGUGGCAAUGUUUCUGCAGAGAGAGAUGUUUAUGAGAGAUGUGAAAGCAAAGGUGACGAGACUUGGCCACAGAUCAGAUGUUUGGGGUGAGGGCAAAGAAGAGUCAUGGGUAACCCUGAGCUAGUGACCCUGAAUGACUGGAGGAUGGGAGUAAUCGAGGGAGCUGGGAAGACCUGAAAGCUUGGGAGCAAUCAUUAUCAUUCUGUUUUGGAUAUGUGAAUUUUCAUGUAGUGACUUUUCUCAACUGUUUUCAUAUUGUUUUCCAGGAUGACUGGGUCAAUUCCCAGCACCAGAAGGAGUGAACAAUUGCACCUGCCUUUCCACAACCCCUCCAACAAUGACUCCAUCUUUUCUCAUUUUUGCCAAUUUGAUUGAGAGACCGAUUGAUCUCACCCUGCCCCGCUUCUCCUCGUCACUUUUUCCAGUGUGUUGCUUUAAUGGUCUCUUCUCGAAUCUUCCCAGGAAAAAUUCUACUCUUCUUUCUGGAAGCAGGUGACAGAAAGAAGGGCUAUUAAUAAUUGUGAUGACGAUGAUGGUGAUGAUGAAGAAAGCCAGUGCUUUAAGGUUUAUGAAGCACUUGGAACAUGUUAACUCACUUGACCUCCACAACAACUCUGUAAAACGCCUGUGGCAAUCUGGUAAAGCCAAUAGACCAUUUCCCAGGAAAAUGGUGUUACAUGCAUUAAAUAAAAUACAGAGGAUUACAAAGGAAACCACUUGCAUUGAAACAAAGAACUGCACCAACGAAUAAAAAUGAGAUGAUAUGUGAUCAAACUGAGACAAUUCCAACUUGACUUAUUUAAGUAAGCUGCUGAGAGUGAAAAAUGACAAAUGGAUAAAAUAA